RNAcentral lists this ribosomal RNA (468 nucleotides) under uncultured bacterium. RNAcentral describes it as "partial 16S ribosomal RNA". It matches the Rfam family "Bacterial small subunit ribosomal RNA", at positions 28 to 507 of the family's 1533-position model. The record is from RNAcentral.
GACGAACGCUGGCGGCGUGCUUAACACAUGCAAGUCGAACGGAAAGGCCCUGCUCUUGUGGGGUGCUCGAGUGGCGAACGGGUGAGUAACACGUGAGUAACCUGCCCUUGACUUUGGGAUACCUUCAGGAAACUCGGGCGAUUAUCCGAUAGGAGCUCCUUCUGCAUGGUGGUGGAUGGUGAGUUUCGGCGGUUCGGGAUGGACUCGCGGCUUAUCAGCUUGUUGGUGGGGUAGUGGCUUACCAAGGCUUGGACGGGUAGCCGGCCUGAGAGGGUGACCGGGCACAAUGGGACUGGGGAGCGGGCAGGACGCCUACGGGAGGCAGCAGUGGGGGACAUUGCGCGAUGGGCGGAAGGCGGAUGGAGCAACGCCGCAUGCGGGAUGACGGCCUUCGGGUUGGAACCCGCUUUCGCCUGUAACGAAGAGUGAGUGACGGUAAUGGGUAAGGAAGCACCGGCUAACUACGUG